GGAUGCGAUCAUACCAGCAAUAAAGCACCGGAUCCCAUCAGAACUUCGCAGUUAAGCGUGCUUGGGCGAGAGUAGUACUAGGAUGGGUGACCCCCUGGGAAGUCCUCGUGAUGCAUCCC
Molecule: ribosomal RNA, 119 nt
Organism: Ananas comosus (pineapple)
Lineage: Eukaryota; Viridiplantae; Streptophyta; Magnoliopsida; Poales; Bromeliaceae
Source: Rfam